This is a long non-coding RNA of Mauremys mutica (yellowpond turtle), 215 nucleotides long. RefSeq lists it as uncharacterized. Lineage: Eukaryota; Metazoa; Chordata; Testudines; Geoemydidae. The transcript is spliced from 3 exons. The record is from RefSeq and is a predicted model, not a curated record.
UUAAACCAUAGUGGAAAAGAGCCCUUCAUUGAAAAUGCAUUAAUUAUUUUACACUGGUUUUCCUCAGUCUUUUUUUUUGCUCUGGGAUGCAAGUGAAAGAUUACAGCUGAAAAAAUGAUCAUCAUACUUGAGGUUGGACUGGAACUGAGUUCAGAGAUGAAAGAGACUUCUUAGUGGGUGAGCAUCAAGACAUACAGACUGAGAACAUAGGAGGG